RNAcentral lists this ribosomal RNA (465 nucleotides) under uncultured bacterium. Its description in RNAcentral is "partial 16S ribosomal RNA". It matches the Rfam family "Bacterial small subunit ribosomal RNA", at positions 28 to 507 of the family's 1533-position model. The record is from RNAcentral.
GUCGAACGCUGGCGGCAUGCUUUACACAUGCAAGUCGAACGGCAACGCGCCAUUUUGCUUGGGUACUCGAGUCGCGAACGUGUGUGUUACAUGUGGAUGAUCUGCCCUGUACUGUAGAAUAAGCCGGGAAAACUAUUUCUAAUACCUGCUAGGUCCGUGCUUUAGUGGGUGCGGGGGAAAGUUUUUCGGUUCUGGAUGGGCGCGCGGCCUAUCAGCUGGUUGGGGGGGUAAUGGCCUACCAGGCCGGCGUCGGUUGGUCGUCCUGAGGGGGUGUACGGCCACAUUGGGACUGAGAGACGGCGCAGAGGCGUACGGGAGGCAGCAGUGGCGAAUAUUGUACAAUGGGGGCAAGCGCGAUGAAGAGACGCCGCGUGGGGGAUGACGGCCUUCGCGUUGUAAACCCCUUUCGGCAGGGACGACGCGUGUAUGACGGUACCGGAAUAAGAAGCACCGGCUAACUACGUG